Molecule: ribosomal RNA, 217 nt
Filed under: Ditylum brightwellii
Lineage: Eukaryota; Bacillariophyta; Thalassiosirophyceae; Lithodesmiales; Lithodesmiaceae
Description: partial Bacterial small subunit ribosomal RNA
Rfam family: Bacterial small subunit ribosomal RNA
Source: RNAcentral
UAAACACUCCGCCUGAGGAGUACGAUCGCAAGAUUAAAACUCAAAGGAAUUGACGGGGACCCGCACAAGCGGUGGAUGAUGUGGAUUAAUUCGAUGCAACGCGAAAAACCUUACCUACCCUUGACAUGGCAGGAACUUUCCAGAGAUGGAUUGGUGCUCGAAAGAGAACCUGCACACAGGUGCUGCAUGGCUGUCGUCAGCUCGUGUCGUGAGAUGU